GACGAACGCUGGCGGCGUGCCUAAUACAUGCAAGUUGAGCGAUGAAGCUUGGUGCUUGCACCAAUUUGAAGAGCAGCGAACGGGUGAGUAACGCGUGGGGAAUCUGCCUUUGAGCGGGGGACAACAUUUGGAAACGAAUGCUAAUACCGCAUAACAACUUUAAACAUAAGUUUUAAGUUUGAAAGAUGCAAUUGCAUCACUCAAAGAUGAUCCCGCGUUGUAUUAGCUAGUUGGUGAGGUAAAGGCUCACCAAGGCGAUGAUACAUAGCCGACCUGAGAGGGUGAUCGGCCACAUUGGGACUGAGACACGGCCCAAACUCCUACGGGAGGCAGCAGUAGGGAGUCUUCGGCAAUGGACGAAAGUCUGACCGAGCAACGCCGCGUGAGUGAAGAAGGUUUUCGGAUCGUAAAACUCUGUUGGUAGAGAAGAACGUUGGUGAGAGUGGAAAGCUCAUCAAGUGACGGUAACUACCCAGAAAGGGACGGCUAACUACGUG
Molecule: ribosomal RNA, 497 nt
Filed under: uncultured bacterium
Lineage: Bacteria
Description: partial 16S ribosomal RNA
Rfam family: Bacterial small subunit ribosomal RNA
Source: RNAcentral